UGCAUAUUAAUGCAUAUUAAUGCAUUUAAGGUACUUUAAACAAUGUGCCAUCUUCAUCUGUGAACAUUUUAAAGGCAUGUCUAAAUCUGGUUCUCGUGCCUUUAAACCCAAAUGAUAUAAUUUCCCUUGUUAUUUUAAUAGUUUCUUGCAAAUCACUUGUUUAGCAAGAGACAGAAAGAUAGAGGGCAGCACGGGACCAGAGUGCUAGCUGCCCUUCAGGAGAACAUGACUGCUUAACUUGCAGGUCUGAAGAGGUAGCCAAGACCGAGAGAGAAGUGGCAGGCAUGCCCGCAUCCUCUCCCCAACCUCUCCAGAAAGAGAUGCAGCGCCUCUUUCUCAUUGUUUAAGAAGAAAAGGGGGAACUUGGAGACGCAGCCAAUGAAGGAUAAAUGAGCGCUCUGCUAGUUCAAAGGCAACGUGCAGAUUGGACAGAGGAAGCGUGCAGAGCUCAGAAGAACAGGAGAAAACCCAGUGCACAGAUAAGCAAACAAACAUACAAAUCCACGCUGAACGGGGCAGUACUCCCAAGAAGCAGAAUAUGAAGGCCUGAGAGGAAGAAGGCAGACUGAAGAAACGGGCAACGGAAUAAGGAAAUGAGAAUGUAGACUGUAGCCCUCGGUCCCGGCUUCAUACUCAGUGUGGUUGGUAGAGCUCAGGCGUGGUCUUGUUGUCCUUGGCUUAGUGCAUGAAGUGUUAAUAUACUUUUUAAAAGUUCUUUGGCAGCAUCCCUGCCUUCAUGCCUAGGUGGUAUUUUUCUUUUUGCUUUCACUUCUGAUCUAGUCCUUACCAAUCCAUAUCUAUGACUUCCUUAAGAUAUGUAUAAAGUCCACUCACUGUGAAUGGACCCCGUACUUGUUAUAUAACCAAGAAAACUAGGUAAAUGCUCGGAGCUUUGGUCUCCUUAUCAUUAGCAAUGUGACACUGAUAUGCCUUGAUGAAAUAUUCUUCUUGUUUCCUCUGCUUGGGUUCCAUGCAGUUUCUUGCAAAAGUGGGUGUAUAAUUUUCAUCAAGUAUAGAACAAUGUUAAACAUUAUCUCUUCAAAGAUAUUUUUUCUGUCACCUACUCUCUUUCCUAUCCUUUGAAAGCUCCAAUUACACAUAUAAUAGGCCAUUUGAAGGUAUUCCACAGCUCACUGGUGCUCUGUCCAUAUUUUUGUCAGUUUUUUUUCUCUUUGUUUCACUUCGAGUCGUUUCUAUUGCCAUGUCUUCAAAUUCACUGGUGUUUUUCCCUGUGUUUUCAGAUCUGCGUUAAUCCCAUCACUUACAUCCUUCAUCUCUGUCAUUGUCGUUUUAAUCUUUAGAACUUUGAUUUGGAGCUUUUUUAAUUUCACCCAUCCCUCCAUUCAUCUAACUUUUUGAAUUUAUGGAAUCAAAUUGUAACCAAAGCAAGAGAAAAGAAAAACCUGGCAGAGGGAAGUGUCAGUGGGAUUGGAGAGGAGGCGGCAGUGGGGGGUUUAGAUGAGGAA
RNAcentral lists this long non-coding RNA (1466 nucleotides) under Felis catus (domestic cat). Its description in RNAcentral is "lncRNA (ENSFCAG00000052604.1)". Lineage: Eukaryota; Metazoa; Chordata; Mammalia; Carnivora; Felidae. The record is from RNAcentral.